GACGAACGCUGGCGGCGUGCUUAACACAUGCAAGUGGGGCGACGAACCAGGCUUCGGCCUGGGGCAAAGCCGCGAACGGGUGAGUAACACGUGGGUAACCUGCCCCGAAGACUGGGACAACCCGGGGAAACCCGGAUUAAUACCUCGUAACCUAGUGAAGUGGCAUCCCUUUAUUAGUAUAGCUCCGGCGGUUUUGGAUGGGCGUGCGCCUGAUUAGGUAGUUGGCGGGGUAACGGCCCACCAAGCCUACGAUCAGUAACUGGUGUGAGAGCACGACCAGUCACACGGGCACUGAGACACGGGCCCGACUCCUACGGGAGGCAGCAGUAAGGAAUAUUGGUCAAUGGACGCAAGUCUGAACCAGCCAUGCCGCGUGAAGGAUGAAGGUCCUCUGGAUUGUAAACUUCUUUUAUAUGGGACGAAACCUCUUUUUCUUGAGAGACUGACGGUACCAUAGGAAUAAGCACCGGCUAACUCCGUGCCAGCCGCCGCCGUAA
RNAcentral lists this ribosomal RNA (497 nucleotides) under uncultured bacterium. RNAcentral's name for it is "partial 16S ribosomal RNA". It matches the Rfam family "Bacterial small subunit ribosomal RNA", at positions 28 to 523 of the family's 1533-position model. The record is from RNAcentral.